UAUUAAUGGUGUGGACAGUCCCAUGAUAGUGCUUUGAACCGCUCCUAUGCAUGAUAUAUAUUCUCAUCUGUCUUCUAUUUAAAGCAUACAAUCUCACUAUGAAGUA
Capsicum annuum is the source of this 106-nucleotide non-coding RNA. The record is from Rfam. Lineage: Eukaryota; Viridiplantae; Streptophyta; Magnoliopsida; Solanales; Solanaceae.